Molecule: long non-coding RNA, 757 nt
Organism: Rana temporaria (common frog)
Lineage: Eukaryota; Metazoa; Chordata; Amphibia; Anura; Ranidae
Exons: 3
Source: RefSeq, a predicted model, not a curated record
UACGUGAGGACGCCAGGAAGCGCGGCGUAUUGGUGUGUGUGGGCGGGGACUGGCGGCAGAUAUGAGAUGGAGUCUGUGGAGGUGUAUUCGGGGAUGCUGAAAGCUCUGGAGAAGCUCACACAGGAAACUACUGUUUUGGCUGAACAUAAUCAACAAAUUCGAAAAUACAACAUGACUCUGAAAAAGUUAAACACAAGCUUUGAUCAGGUCCAAUCCAGGCUUGUGCGUGUGGCCGCUGUGAAGCCAACUUUAAGCAGAACAGUUGUGUAAAAGGAAACCUGACCCCAGAUGCAUGAAAUCAAUAUAACCGGGUUUCCAUGUAUAUUCAGACUGAUGGAACAUCACAGCAAAUCUAGUUGUUUGCAUUUCUCCAUGCUUUAUAUGUGCCAUGCAUAGAAAGGGAGGGGAGAUAAUGGUGGCAACAUGACCAUGUUUUACAUACUGCAAAGCCCCACUUACGUUGCCUCUUGCUGUGUUAGAUUUUGGUUGUAACAUUACUGCUGGUAAAAACAUGGUUACAUUUGAACAUACUAUGUCCACCAAGUGAAUGUAAACAGCUAGAUGGAUGACUUGCAUGCAGAGAUAACCAGCUUUGUUAGUACCUGAUUUGCUGGUGGAUCGACAUUGCACAGGCGAUUUGUUUGUAUGUUGAAAUUCUGAUUUUACUGUGGACUGGCCAAAUAUUGUCGGGAUUCAUCAUUUGUGCAGCAGUGCAUGGACUGGUUAAAUAAAAAAUAUAUACAUUGCCUAUAAAAUA